Molecule: non-coding RNA, 456 nt
Organism: Sander lucioperca (pikeperch)
Lineage: Eukaryota; Metazoa; Chordata; Actinopteri; Perciformes; Percidae
Source: the annotation of a RefSeq genome assembly
AGUCUGACAAAGUCAGAGAGCCGUGUCUCUCUACAGUGAGAGGUUUUUGUACGGCGGCUCAAUGACUUUGUAUCACUGUGGAGGACUUUUGGUGGAGGAACCAGACUGAAUGUUGGAAGUGAUGUCCGUCCCACCCUGACGGUGCUGCCCCCCUCCAGUGAGGAGCUGCUGAAGGGGAAGGCCACGCUCAUGUGCCUGGCCAACAAGGGCUUCCCCUCAGACUGGAGUCUGGCCUGGAAGGUGGACGGCAGCAGCAGCAGCAGCAGCAGCAGCUGGGAGGAGAGCAGGAGCCCCGGGGUGCUGGAGAAGGACGGCAAAUACAGCUGGAGCAGCACCCUGAGGCUCCCUGCAGACCAGUGGGAGAAGGUGGGCUCUGUGACCUGUGAGGCCACCCAGGGCUCCCAGACUCCACUCUCAGAGACACUGAGGAGAGACCAGUGUUCCCAGUCCUGACCU